AUGAAUUAUGGCUUAACUUACUUUACAAACAUAAAUAUAAAUAAUAAUGAAAAUUCGAACAAAUUAGAAGAAAAAAGUUACUUUUAUAAUAAUAUAAAAAGAGAAAGUGACAUUAAUACAAAUAAUAUAUUUUUAAAUAGAAAUGAUGGUUUUAAUGUUAUUAACAAAUUUCAACAUGAUAUUUUAAAUGCUCAAUCAUUAAAAAAUGAACAAACAAAUGAACAAACAAAUGAACAAACAAAUGAACAAUCAAAUGAACAAUCAAAUGAACAAGUGCAAAAAAAUAAAAAAAUAAAUAGCAGUUUGAAUAAUAGUUUGAGUAACAGUUUAAAUUGUUCAGAAUCGUAUGAUAAUGAAACUAUGUCAAAAAAUAAUGAGUAUAGAAAUAAAAAUGACAAAAUAUAUGUCAAGGAAAUUGUUAAAAAUAAUAAAACAAGAAUAGAAAAAUUAUAUAUUAACGAUUUGAGUCAAAGUAGUGCUGUUAGUGAAAGCAGUACUGAUGCAUUUCAAAACAGUUCAAAUAAUAAUAUAGAAGAAAAUCAAAAUAUGUUCUCAUCGGUACAUAAUUUUAAGAACAAACAUUUUUCAGGUAAUUUGAAUACAUAUAAUGAUGAAGAAUUAGAACAACAACAACCUAAAAUGAUUAAUUCUGUAUUUGAUAGUUUUAGUGAAGAAUUUGAUGAACCUAUUCCUGUACCAACACCUGCUGAUUCUGUUUUAUCUGAAUCAUUAUAUUCAUCACGAAAUAAAGAAAUUAGAAAUAAACAAAAGGAAAGGGUAAGUAUAACAAAUAGUAUACGUUCGGAUGAUGAACAAAUCGUUUUUACAUCGAAGGAAAAUAUACGUGGGGGGAUAACAACAAUGGAUAUAAUCAGUAAAAACGAAUUCUUACGAGGAGAAAAUGAUAUAAACCUUACAAGUGAUAGUAAUGAUCAUAAUAAUAUGAGUAAUUUUCCUACUAAUAGUAUUAGUAGUAACAACAAUAAUAGUGGUUGUAGUGAUUCUGGUAGUGUUGUAGAUAGUAUUGCCGGUAGUAUGGUCGGUAGUAUUGCCGGUAGUAUGGUCGGUAAUAUUGCCAGUUAUAAUGUCGGACAACCUUGUGAUCCCACUAUAAGAAAUAAACAAAGAAACAGUAUCAAUGACAUGUUAAAUGAAUAUAAUUUGAAUAAUAACAAACGUGUAAGUAAUGUAGAUAUGGAUUGGAAUUAUAAAAAUAAAAAUGUUACUUUGAACAAAACAUAUAAAGAUUUAUAUAAUAAUAAUGGUGAUAAUAAUGGUGAUAAAAUUAAAAAUAUGAAUAUUACACCUGAAUUGGUAAAAAGUGAUAUAACAUUUAUGAUGGAUACUAAUAAUAAUAAUAAUAAGAAAUAUUAUGGUAGUAUAAACAAUCAGGGAACUGGUUAUAGUAUCGAUAGUAGUAGUAGUAGUGUCAACAGUUAUAACUACAACGAAACAAAUACUAAUAAGAGCAAUAACAGUAAUAACUCAUGUUAUAAUUACCAAUCCUUUGAGAACAAAAAAAAAACGACUACAAAAAAUUGUAAACACACUUGA
Molecule: long non-coding RNA, 1554 nt
Organism: Piliocolobus tephrosceles (Ugandan red Colobus)
Lineage: Eukaryota; Metazoa; Chordata; Mammalia; Primates; Cercopithecidae
Source: Ensembl